GCCCUGCCUUCUACUCUGGGAAACUGUGUCAGUUUUCAACCUGUGAGGAGACUCCGUGCGGGAAUGGAGCAACGUGUGUUCCGAAAUCCAGCCAAGAUGCCGUGUGCCUCUGUCCUUAUGGAAGAGCGGGACUUCUCUGUGAUGACGUUGUUAAUAUUACAUACCCUAGCUACAGUGGGACAGAUGCCUUUGGCUAUACUUCAUUCCUUGCCUACUCAGCAAUUCCAAAUAUCAGCCUCUAUUACGAAUUCCAUCUGAAAUUUCGGCUGGCAAAUCACGACUCAUCAGUAGAAGACAACCUGAUAUUUUUCACAGGUCAGAAGGGUCAAGGUCUCAAUGGUGAUGAUUUCCUAGUAUUAGGCCUGCGCAAUGGCAGCGUGGUGUACACCUACAACCUAGGAUCAGGAACGGCAACUAUUAUUAGUGAACCCCUAGAUUUGACGCACCCUAUUCAUGUUGUCAGUCUUGGCAGAUC
Molecule: non-coding RNA, 475 nt
Organism: Pogona vitticeps (central bearded dragon)
Lineage: Eukaryota; Metazoa; Chordata; Lepidosauria; Squamata; Agamidae
Source: RefSeq, a predicted model, not a curated record